GAUGAACGCUGGCGGCGUGCCUAAUACAUGCGAGUCGAGCGAACAGAUGAGGAGCUUGCUCCUCUGACGUUAGCGGCGGACGGGUGAGUAACACGUGUAUAACCUACCUAUAAGACUGGGAUAACUUCGGGAAACCGGCGCUAAUACCGUAUAAUAUAUUGAACCGCAUGGUUCAAUAGUGAAAUACGGUUUUGCUGUCACUUAUAGAUGGAUCCGCGCCGCAUUAGCUAGUUGGGAAGGUAACGGCUUACCAAGGCAACGAUGCGUAGCCGACCUGAGAGGGUGAUCGGCCACACUGGAACUGAGACACGGUCCAGACUCCUACGGGAGGCAGCAGUAGGGAAUCUUCCGCAAUGGGCGAAAGCCUGACGGAGCAACGCCGCGUGAGUGAUGAAGGUCUUCGGAUCGUAAAACUCUGUUAUUAGGGAAAAACAAAUGUGUAAGUAACUAUGCACGUCUUGACGGUACCUAAUCAGAAAGCCACGGCUAACUACGUG
This 497-nucleotide ribosomal RNA is filed under the name uncultured bacterium. Its description in RNAcentral is "partial 16S ribosomal RNA". It matches the Rfam family "Bacterial small subunit ribosomal RNA", at positions 28 to 507 of the family's 1533-position model. The record is from RNAcentral.